GCGGGAGUGGCGAAAUUGGUAGACGCACCAGAUUUAGGUUCUGGCACCUCGAGGUAUGCGAGUUCAAGUCUCGCCUCCCGCAC
This 83-nucleotide transfer RNA is filed under the name Sodalis endosymbiont of Henestaris halophilus. Its description in RNAcentral is "tRNA-Leu". It matches the Rfam family "tRNA". From Rfam's summary of the family: Transfer RNA (tRNA) molecules are approximately 80 nucleotides in length. Their secondary structure includes four short double-helical elements and three loops (D, anti-codon, and T loops). Lineage: Bacteria; Pseudomonadati; Pseudomonadota; Gammaproteobacteria; Enterobacterales; Bruguierivoracaceae. The record is from RNAcentral.